This 291-nucleotide ribosomal RNA is filed under the name uncultured Halomonas sp. RNAcentral describes it as "partial 16S ribosomal RNA". It matches the Rfam family "Bacterial small subunit ribosomal RNA", at positions 355 to 638 of the family's 1533-position model. Lineage: Bacteria; Pseudomonadati; Pseudomonadota; Gammaproteobacteria; Oceanospirillales; Halomonadaceae. The record is from RNAcentral.
UGGGGAAUAUUGGACAAUGGGCGCAAGCCUGAUCCAGCCAUGCCGCGUGUGUGAAGAAGGCCCUCGGGUUGUAAAGCACUUUCAGUGGGGAAGAAAGCCUGGUGGUUAAUACCCGUCAGGAAGGACAUCACCCACAGAAGAAGCACCGGCUAACUCCGUGCCAGCAGCCGCGGUAAUACGGAGGGUGCGAGCGUUAAUCGGAAUUACUGGGCGUAAAGCGCGCGUAGGUGGCUUGAUAAGCCGGUUGUGAAAGCCCCGGGCUCAACCUGGGAACGGCAUCCGGAACUGUCA